Molecule: long non-coding RNA, 740 nt
Organism: Catharus ustulatus (Swainson's thrush)
Lineage: Eukaryota; Metazoa; Chordata; Aves; Passeriformes; Turdidae
Exons: 2
Source: RefSeq, a predicted model, not a curated record
AGGGGAGAUCAUGGAAGGCAAGGGGCAGCCAUGAGGGAAGAUCAUGGAGGAAGAUGAGGGGCAGCCCUGAGGGGAGAUCAAGGAGGAAAAUGAGAGGCGGCCAGUGGGAUCUGAGUGGCAGCCAUGAGGGGGAAUCAUGGAGGAAAAUGAGGGGAGAAUGUGGAGGAAGAUGAGGGGUGGCCGUGAGGAAAGAUCAUGGAGGACGAGGGGCAGCCAUGAGGGGAGAUCGUGCAGAAGGUGAGGGGUGGCCAUGAGGGGAGAUCUUGGAGGAGGUGAGGGGAGAACAUGGAGAAAGAUGAGAGAGGUCCAUGAGGGGAGAAUGUGGAGGAAGAUGAGGGGAGAUCGUGGAGGAAAAUGAGAUGAGAAUGUGGAGGAAGAUGAGGGGGGGUCUAUGAGGGGAGAACAUGGAGGAAAGUGAGGGGCAGCCCUGAGGGGAGAUCACGGAGGAAGAUGAGGGGCAGCCCUGAGGGGAGAUCACGGAGGAAGAUGAGGGGCAGCCCUGAGGGGAGAUCACGGAGGAAGGCGCGGCGCAGCCCAUCCUGCAGGUUUGAAAUAUCUCCUCUCAGGUGUGGCAGCAGAACGAGCCGCCUCCCAAGCAUGUAAUGAGCUGACUGAGAAAACCAAGCCUGAGGAGCUUGGGAGGAAAUUGAGGAGUGUUUCUGGAAAUGGAAGAUUUUGAGUGCAUUGGAGAAGGUAUUUUGUUUUACAAAUUAAAAAAAUAAAGAUAUUUUGUUGGGAAA